AACGAACGCUGGCGGCAGGCUUAACACAUGCAAGUCGAACGCCCCGCAAGGGGAGUGGCAGACGGGUGAGUAACGCGUGGGAAUCUACCCAGAUCUUCGGAACAACUGAGGGAAACUUCAGCUAAUACCGGAUACGCCCUACGGGGGAAAGAUUUAUCGGUUCUGAAUGAGCCCGCGUUGGAUUAGCUAGUUGGUGGGGUAAUGGCCUACCAAGGCGACGAUCCAUAGCUGGUCUGAGAGGAUGAUCAGCCACACUGGGACUGAGACACGGCCCAGACUCCUACGGGAGGCAGCAGUGGGGAAUAUUGGACAAUGGGCGAAAGCCUGAUCCAGCCAUGCCGCGUGAGUGAUGAAGGCCUUAGGGUUGUAAAGCUCUUUCAGUAGGGAAGAUAAUGACGGUACCUACAGAAGAAGCCCCGGCUAACUUCGUGCCAGCCGCCGCCGUAA
Molecule: ribosomal RNA, 447 nt
Filed under: uncultured bacterium
Lineage: Bacteria
Description: partial 16S ribosomal RNA
Rfam family: Bacterial small subunit ribosomal RNA
Source: RNAcentral